Molecule: long non-coding RNA, 1153 nt
Organism: Papaver somniferum (opium poppy)
Lineage: Eukaryota; Viridiplantae; Streptophyta; Magnoliopsida; Ranunculales; Papaveraceae
Exons: 3
Source: RefSeq, a predicted model, not a curated record
AUAGUCGAACCAUCAAACUUUUCUCUCUCCUUAUUUUUCUCUGCAACUUUAUAUUUUAACAUAAACAAUUAUCUUCUUUACAGAGUAGUUAUAUUCAACCAUUGGUAGUUAUCUUCAUCUUCUCCAUUUUAUUCUUUUAACCAUCUUCUCAUUUUCUGCCGGAAUUUUAAUUUAAUUUAAGAUUCGGGUAGAUUUAUUUAAUCUAAUAUAUAUCUAAAUAAAACAAAUUGCAUUACAACAAUUGGUAUCGUAAAUAGUUUGUAUUUCUGAUAACGUGUGGCAAGUUUGUGCCAUUACGGUUUCUCAUACCUCUUGGAGGACUUUCGAUUUCAUUCAAUCAUCCACAGACGUGAUGACCAAAGAUUACAUAAUUCGAUGAAGAAUUUGGGCAUAUUACUUCUCUCAUGGAAGCAUCAUAUAUUCUUGGAGAGUAUCCAACAAAAUGGUGAUAAACCAUUAGAAGGUUUCAAUUGUGAAAACUACUGUCAAACCCGUUUUUCUGUUUUUUCUACUCUCAAACCCACAGGCGUACAAAGUCAUGCGCGCACCCAGUUUGACAGACAAAAUUUCUCUCGGGCCCAUAAUUUCCCAAAUUCCAUUUUCGUUUUGUAUUUAUUCCCAAACUAACCUCCAGAGAGGCGAGAGAGAAGGUGAUGAUUUUAUCAACAAAGAGUCGAUGAAGGUCGUCAUCAACAGUGGUUUAUGGUGAUUCAAUCAACAAAGAUGACCUCGCAGAUAAAGUGAAAAGAAAAGCCAUUCUUUGACAGAAUCUGUAUCAUCAAAACUAAGCCACCGGUGUGAAAGUAAAAUGGAACAAUUAGCGUAACAAUGUGGAUGGAAGAGGAUUCACUAAAUAUGUGAAGGGUGGUGAAACCACCAGUAGUCAUCCCAGUCAGGGGUUCAGAUCGUUUAAUGGAAAAAUGUUAGAAUUCGGUCUUUAUUUCACUUUCAGUAGGAGAACUUUUGAACUCUAUUCAAGUUGUGGUCGUCUUGUGGUCUCCUCACUGUACUAAUAUGAUCGUCUUGUGGUCUAUUUUUUUCAUUUGGUUUCUCUUGAGUUUUUUCUAGGAACAACAAAUAAAUCAUUCAUUGUUUUCACCGACUAGCAAGGAGAGAAUAGACUGAGAAUUUGAAUAUUUUUUCUUGCAGAUUG